CCUGAACGCUGGCGGCGUGGCUAAGACAUGCAAGUCGCACGGACGUAGCAAUACGUUAGUGGCGAACGGGUGAGUAAUGAAUCGCUAAUGUACCCCGGACUUUGGGAUAGCUGACCGAAAGGUCAGGUAAUACCAGAUGAUAUACUCGAUAGGCAUCUAUUGAGUCUCAAAGGUCCGCCGGUCUGGGAGCAGGCGAUUUCGUAUCAGGUAGUUGGUGAGGUAACGGCUCACCAAGCCGACGACGCGUAGCCGGACUGAGAGGUUGGCCGGCCACAUCGGGACUGAGACACUGCCCGGACUCCUACGGGGGGCUGCAGUAACGAAUCUUCCCCAAUGCACGCAAGUGUGAGGGAGCGACGCCGCGUGGAGGACGAAGUUCUUCGGAAUGUAAACUCCUGUCAGGGAUUAGAAAGUUCUGAUCAAUCCCAGAGGAAGAGGCGGCUAACUCUGUGCCAGCAGCCGCGGUAAUACAGAGGCCUCAAGCGUUAGGCGGAAUCACUGGGCUUAAAGCGUGUGUAGGCGGAUGCCUAAGUGCCUUGUGAAAUCCCACGGCUCAACCCGUGGAACUGCUUGGCAUACUGGGUGUCUUGAGCCAUCCAGGGGUCGCUGGAACAAGCGGUGGAGCGGUGAAAUGCGUAGAUAUCGUUUGGAACGCCAAAUGUGAAGACAGGCGACUGGGGAUGUACUGACGCUGAGACGCGAAAGCGUGGGGAGCAAACAGGAUUAGAUACCCUGGUAGUCCACGCUGUAAACGAUGGGCACUAGGUGUCCGGGGUAUUGACCCCCUGGGUGCCGCAGCUAACGCAUUAAGUGCCCCGCCUGGGGAGUACGGUCGCAAGAUUAAAACUCAAAGGAAUUGACGGGGGCCCGCACAAGCGGUGGAGCAUGUGGUUCAAUUCGACGCAACGCGAAGAACCUUACCUGGGCUAGACAACGGUGGACCGUCCUAGAAAUAGGAUUUUCCCUUCGGGGACUGCCGGUUCAGGUGCUGCAUGGCUGUCGUCAGCUCGUGCCGUGAGGUGUUGGGUUAAGUCCCGCAACGAGCGCAACCCUCGUCCUUAGUUGCCACCAUUCAGUUGGGCACUCUAGGGAGACUGCCGGCGUUAAGCCGGAGGAAGGUGGGGACGACGUCAAGUCAUCAUGGCCCUUAUGUCCAGGGCCACACACGUGCUACAAUGGGCGGUACAAAGGGUCGCUAACCCGCGAGGGGGAGCCAAUCCCAAAAAGCCGCUCUCAGUUCGGAUUGGAGUCUGCAACUCGACUCCAUGAAGUUGGAAUCGCUAGUAAUCGCGGAUCAGCACGCCGCGGUGAAUACGUUCCCGGGCCUUGCACUCACCGC
This 1339-nucleotide ribosomal RNA is filed under the name uncultured bacterium. Its description in RNAcentral is "partial 16S ribosomal RNA". It matches the Rfam family "Bacterial small subunit ribosomal RNA", at positions 28 to 1393 of the family's 1533-position model. The record is from RNAcentral.